UUACGGCCACAUCACGUUGAACAACGGUUCCCGUAGGAUCACCGAAGUUAAGCAACAUCAAUCCUGGUCAGUAUCUAGAAUGCUGACCGCUUGGGAAUACCAGGUGCUGUAAG
Non-coding RNA from Acanthosepion pharaonis, 113 nucleotides. Lineage: Eukaryota; Metazoa; Mollusca; Cephalopoda; Sepiida; Sepiidae. The record is from the annotation of a GenBank genome assembly.